This 591-nucleotide ribosomal RNA is filed under the name uncultured fungus. RNAcentral's name for it is "eukaryotic LSU rRNA". The stretch from base 226 to 379 matches the Rfam family "5.8S ribosomal RNA". The record is from RNAcentral. Lineage: Eukaryota; Fungi.
AGUCGUAACAAGGUUUCCGUAGGUGAACCUGCGGAAGGAUCAUUAAAGAGUAAGGGUGCUCAGCGCCCGACCUCCAACCCUUUGUUGUUAAAACUACCUUGUUGCUUUGGCGGGACCGCUCGGUCUCGAGCCGCUGGGGAUUCGUCCCAGGCGAGCGCCCGCCAGAGUUAAACCAAACUCUUGUUAUUUAACCGGUCGUCUGAGUUAAAAUUUUGAAUAAAUCAAAACUUUCAACAACGGAUCUCUUGGUUCUCGCAUCGAUGAAGAACGCAGCGAAAUGCGAUAAGUAAUGUGAAUUGCAGAAUUCAGUGAAUCAUCGAAUCUUUGAACGCACAUUGCGCCCCUUGGUAUUCCGAGGGGCAUGCCUGUUCGAGCGUCAUUACACCACUCAAGCUAUGCUUGGUAUUGGGUGCCGUCCUUAGUUGGGCGCGCCUUAAAGACCUCGGCGAGGCCUCACCGGCCUUAGGCGUAGUAGAAUUUAUUCGAACGUCUGUCAAAGGAGAGGACUUCUGCCGACUGAAACCUUUAUUUUUCUAGGUUGACCUCGGAUCAGGUAGGGAUACCCGCUGAACUUAAGCAUAUUAAAAGUCG